GUGUCAGCAGCCGCGGUAAGACGGAGGAUGCAAGUGUUAUCCGGAAUUAUUGGGCGUAAAGCGUCUGUAGGUGGUUUAAAAAGUCUGCGGUUAAAAAUUGAAGCUUAACUUCAAAAAUGCUUCGGAAACUUUUAAACUAGAGUUUGAUAGGGGUAGAGGGAAUUUCCAGUGGAGCGGUGAAAUGCGUAGAUAUUGGAAAGACCACCGAUGGCGAAGGCACUCUACUGGGUCAUUACUGACACUAAGAGACGAAAGCUAGGGGAGCAAAUGGGAUUAGAUACCCCAGUAGUCCUAGCUGUAAACAAUGGAUACUAGAUGUUGUGUGUAUUGACCCAUGCAGUAUCGUAGCUAACGCGUUAAGUAUCCCGCCUGGGAAGUACGCUCGCAAGAGUGAA
This 395-nucleotide ribosomal RNA is filed under the name uncultured bacterium. Its description in RNAcentral is "bacterial SSU rRNA". It matches the Rfam family "Bacterial small subunit ribosomal RNA", at positions 505 to 898 of the family's 1533-position model. The record is from RNAcentral.